UUACAGAUAAGGAAACUGAGGCAAAUGGUUAAAUGAUUUGUCUGGGAUCAUACAGCUAGUGUUUUAAGCUGGAUUCGAAUUCAUCUUUCUGACUCCAGGCAAAAUUCAUCUGCUGAAAGAAAUUGCUCCAUUGUUCUCUCUAGAAGAAAAUUUGUCUUUGAUAUUAAACUGUUAUGAAGGAGUACAAAUGAAAGAGGAGAAAAUCUGUCAAGUAGCACUGGCUAUGGGAUCUAGGCAAUUCUCAAGAUACAGAGGAAAUGCUGUCCUACAUUGAUAGAGGGAAUUUCUUCAUCUAAAAGUUCAACCAGCCAUUAUUCUUCACCAUAUCAUUUCUUAUGCAGAUCUUUGAGAAAGAUGAUCACCACAGUAUUUUGAGGCUGAAUGGCAAAGCUGAUCAAGGGGACAACUGGAUUCAAAUACCACCACUGAUUCAUACUGACUGUGUGACCCUGGGUAAGUCAUAAAAAUUGAGGGAUAAUAGAUUUAGAACUGUUAAGAUACUGUAGAGGCCGUUUUUUUUUUCCAGCUCUCUUAUUUUAGAGGUGAAGAAACUAAAACACAGACAGAAGAAGUCACUAGCCUAUUAUUAUACUGGAAAUGACAAAGAGAGGAUUACAAAUUUUAUUUCAAUCAACAUUCAUUUAUUUUCUUCUCUACCCCAUUUUAUUGUUGUAAAAAAAAAAAAGAAAAAUGAGAGAUAAUUGGCUCAAAUACAGGACAAGGCAUAUAUUUUUUUGCUACAGUGCCUAGACAUAUGAGCACUAUUUAAAUGUGAGCUAUUAUUAUUAGUUCCCCCAAGUUAUAUAGUUAGUUAAGGUCUAAGGCAAAAUUUGAACUCAGAACUUCAAGAUACCUGGUCCUCUACUAUACUACCUAAUUGCAAUCUUUGAUAUCUUCUUAUCUAUGGGAUAAAAUAGAGAUCACUUAGUUUAGCUUUUAGGACCAUCUGAAACUUGUCUCUGAUCUAGCAUUCGAGUUGUAUUUAACAUGUCUUUAUCAUAUGUAUUGUACUAUAGCCAAUUUAAACUGCUAAUUGUUCCCCAAUAAUAUCCUAUACUUUUCUACCUUAGCAAAUUUUUACAGGCUGAAUAACCACCCUCCAAAUUCUAUGUCUGUUAAAAUUCUAUAUCUCCUGAGUUUAACUCCAUUGCUA
This is a long non-coding RNA of Antechinus flavipes (yellow-footed antechinus), 1153 nucleotides long. RefSeq lists it as uncharacterized. Lineage: Eukaryota; Metazoa; Chordata; Mammalia; Dasyuromorphia; Dasyuridae. The record is from RefSeq and is a predicted model, not a curated record. The transcript is spliced from 4 exons.